RNAcentral lists this transfer RNA (90 nucleotides) under Candidatus Yanofskyibacteriota bacterium. RNAcentral describes it as "Candidatus Yanofskybacteria bacterium tRNA-Ser". It matches the Rfam family "tRNA". From Rfam's summary of the family: Transfer RNA (tRNA) molecules are approximately 80 nucleotides in length. The record is from RNAcentral. Lineage: Bacteria; Candidatus Yanofskyibacteriota.
GGUGAGGUGGCCGAGUGGUUUAAGGCAACGGUCUUGAAAACCGUCAUACGGGAAACCGUAUCGUGAGUUCGAAUCUCACCCUCACCACCA